UUCGACCUCUGUCCUGCUUAUUCUGUGCACGGUUCACCCUUCAAGUACUGUAUACACUUCACGUUACUGCAAGUACUAAGCUAAGACACUUUGUAACUUCUUACACUGAAAUGUCUUCUGCAUAUCACUGGGAAGGGCGCCGCCGGCAAUGGAUUAUCGACAAGAAAAUUCAUACGCAGCAGGAUGAACUUAUAAAAAGGAAUCAUUCUAAUCAACCGAAGACUUACAAAGAGGUUCCACAGCCUGAAAUGUCACCCAGUACUGAGAACCCUGGUUUUAAACCUAUUAGAAGAUAUACUUCCACCGACUACAAUCAACAAUGGUGAAAGAAUGGAUUAGGCACCAUAAUCUCAAGAUAUAAAAGAACCUUUCCUUCAGCUGUGAAAUGUACUGUCAUUAUCAAUAUAUUUCUGUGCAUAGUACAAUGAAGUGAAAUAGUAUAUAUUGUUAGAUUUUGGCAUUUUAAACAAAAUGUCAUUCUGUGAAGCACAAGUUUUAAAAUCUUUCCAACUAUGUUUGUUAUUUGCUAACCUCUAAAACAAUGCUGUAUCACUUCUCCUUUUAAGGAGCUAUUUAAAUUAUGUUGAACUUAAU
Long non-coding RNA from Hypanus sabinus (Atlantic stingray), 594 nucleotides. RefSeq lists it as uncharacterized. The record is from RefSeq and is a predicted model, not a curated record. The transcript is spliced from 4 exons. Lineage: Eukaryota; Metazoa; Chordata; Chondrichthyes; Myliobatiformes; Dasyatidae.